AUGUGUUUAACGGCCGCGGUAUUUUAACCGUGCGAAGGUAGCGUAAUCACUCGUCUUUUAAAUAAAGACCCGUAUGAACGGUAAAACGAGGGCUUAGCUGUCUCCUUUUUCAUGUCAAUGAAAUUGAUCUUCCCGUGCAAAAGCGGGAAUUACUUCAUAAGACGAGAAGACCCUGUGAAGCUUUAGGCACUAAGACACAGAUCUGGGCUAAUACCCCCUAAUAAAGAAUUAAACUGCUAAACCCUGUCUCAACGUCUUCGGUUGGGGUGACCGCGGGGAAUUACAUAACCCCCGCGUGGAAUAGGAGUAUGAGAUUAAUUUUACUCCCCCAGAACUAAGAGCCACCACUCUAGUAAGCAGAAUCUCUGGCCUUUAUGUGAUCCGGCAAUGCCGAUUAACGAACCAAGUUACUCCAGGGAUAACAGCGCCAUCCUCUUCCAGAGUUCCCAUCGACAAGAGGGUUUACGACCUCGAUGUUGGAUCAGGACAUCCUAAUGGUGCAGCCGCUAUUAAGGGUUUGUUUGUUCAACGAUUAAUAGUCCUACGUG
Molecule: ribosomal RNA, 548 nt
Filed under: Johnius borneensis (sharpnose hammer croaker)
Lineage: Eukaryota; Metazoa; Chordata; Actinopteri; Sciaenidae
Description: partial large subunit ribosomal RNA
Rfam family: Bacterial large subunit ribosomal RNA
Source: RNAcentral